GUUGUGGCUCAAGGGUAGAGCACUUGCCUGGCAUGGGUGAGGCAGUGAGUUCAAUCCUCACCACA
RNAcentral lists this transfer RNA (65 nucleotides) under Marmota monax (woodchuck). Its description in RNAcentral is "tRNA.Ala". The record is from RNAcentral. Lineage: Eukaryota; Metazoa; Chordata; Mammalia; Rodentia; Sciuridae.